UACGUAGGGGGCAAGCGUUGUCCGGAAUCAUUGGGCGUAAAGAGCGUGUAGGCGGCCCCGAUAAGUCCGCCGUGAAAGCCCAGGGCUCAACCCUGGGAUGCCGGUGGAUACUGUCGGGCUAGAAUCCGGAAGAGGCGAGUGGAAUUCCCGGGUGUAGCGGUGAAAUGCGCAGAUAUCGGGAGGAACACCAAUGGCGAAGGCAGCUCGCUGGGACGGUACUGACGCUGAGACGCGAAAGCGUGGGAGCAAACAGG
Molecule: ribosomal RNA, 254 nt
Filed under: uncultured bacterium
Lineage: Bacteria
Description: partial 16S ribosomal RNA
Rfam family: Bacterial small subunit ribosomal RNA
Source: RNAcentral